ACAUGUCUUUUUGAAUUUUAAUUUAAGGUCUAAUCUGCUCCAUGAAUAUUAAUUUAAAUAGCUGCAGUAUAUUAACUGUACAAAGGUAGCAUAGUCAAUAGUUUUUUAAUUAAAAGCUGGAAUGAAUGAUUUAAUAAGGUAAAUAUUGUCUCAAAUUUAAAGUGAUUAUAAUUUUUAUUUUAGUAAAAAUGCUAAAAUAAAUUUAAAAGACGAGAAGACCCUAUAGAUUUUUAUAUUUUUAUUUUAAUUAAAAAUAAAAUAAAAUAUGUUUAUAUUAAUAUAAAAAUAUUUGGUUGGGGAAAUUAUUAAAUUUAAUAAAUUUUAAUAUUUAAGAACAAUAAUAAUUGAUUAAAUGAUUUUAAAUUUUAAAUUAAUAGAAUAAAUUACCUUAGGGAUAACAGCGUAAUUUUUUUGGAGAGAUCUUAUUGAUAAAAAAGUUUGCGACCUCGAUGUUGAAUUAAGAUAAAAUUUUAAUGUAGAAUUUAAAAAUUUUUAGUCUGUUCGACUAUUAAAAUCUUACGUGA
Molecule: ribosomal RNA, 524 nt
Filed under: Lanugo schlingeri
Lineage: Eukaryota; Metazoa; Arthropoda; Insecta; Hymenoptera; Ichneumonidae
Description: partial 16S large subunit ribosomal RNA
Rfam family: Archaeal large subunit ribosomal RNA (bases 394-524)
Source: RNAcentral